CGUGUAGGCGGACAGGUCAGUCGAGGGUGAAAUCCUACAGCUUAACUGUAGGAUUGCUUUGAUACUGCUCGUCUUGAGUUCGGGAGAGGGAAGCGGAAUUCCUGGUGUAGCGGUGAAAUGCGUAGAUAUCAGGAAGAACACCGGUAGCGAAGGCAGCUUCCUGGCCCGAUACUGACGCUGAAGCGCGAAAGCGUGGGGAGCAAACA
Molecule: ribosomal RNA, 206 nt
Filed under: uncultured bacterium
Lineage: Bacteria
Description: partial 16S ribosomal RNA
Rfam family: Bacterial small subunit ribosomal RNA
Source: RNAcentral